CGGGUAGAGUAAUGCGUGACCAACCUGCCCCAUGCUCCAGAAUAGCUCUUGGAAACGGGUGGUAAUGCUGGAUGCUCCAACUUGACGCAUGUCUUGUUGGGAAAGUGUUUAGUGGCAUGGGAUGGGGUCGCGUCCUAUCAGCUUGUAGGCGGGGUAAUGGCCCACCUAGGCUUCGACGGGUAGCCGGCCUGAGAGGGCGGACGGCCACAUUGGGACUGAGAUACGGCCCAGACUCCUACGGGAGGCAGCAGAU
Molecule: ribosomal RNA, 253 nt
Filed under: uncultured Gardnerella sp.
Lineage: Bacteria; Bacillati; Actinomycetota; Actinomycetes; Bifidobacteriales; Bifidobacteriaceae
Description: partial 16S ribosomal RNA
Rfam family: Bacterial small subunit ribosomal RNA
Source: RNAcentral